UACGAAGGGGGCUAGCGUUGCUCGGAUUUACUGGGCGUAAAGGGCGCGUAGGCGGACAGUUUAGUCAGAGGUGAAAGCCCAGGGCUCAACCUUGGAAUUGCCUUUGAUACUGGCUGUCUUGAGUACGGGAGAGGUGAGUGGAACUCCGAGUGUAGAGGUGAAAUUCGUAGAUAUUCGCAAGAACACCAGUGGCGAAGGCGGCUCACUGGCCCGGUACUGACGCUGAGGUGCGAAAGCGUGGGGAGCAAACAGG
RNAcentral lists this ribosomal RNA (253 nucleotides) under uncultured bacterium. RNAcentral describes it as "partial 16S ribosomal RNA". It matches the Rfam family "Bacterial small subunit ribosomal RNA", at positions 524 to 776 of the family's 1533-position model. The record is from RNAcentral.